Callipepla squamata (scaled quail) is the source of this 119-nucleotide ribosomal RNA. Lineage: Eukaryota; Metazoa; Chordata; Aves; Galliformes; Odontophoridae. The record is from Rfam.
GUGUACGGCCACAGUGCUGUGAUAACGCCUGCUCUCAUGGGAUCUCAGAGGCUGAGCGGGGCUGGGGCUAGUGAGUACUGGGAUGGGAGACCUCGUGGGACAGCCAGCUGCUGCACGCU